UCCGUAGGUGAACCUGCGGAAGGAUCAUUAGUGGUUGCUGAAAAGCUUCCUUCCACCUCUUCUUCUCCUGCGCGGGGGGAGGGGAGGGGGAAGGGCGGGCUUGUGUCCCCUUUAUCUUGUGCAAUGUCGGAGCGAGCUCCAGCGCUCCUUUGGUCGUUCGCAUGAGCCUUCGGCCUGGCUUUGGUCGUUCUUAGCAUAUCAUCAUUAGAAUGGGCAAGGCCGGGCCAAAGGUGUGUGAUGCUGGACGAUCCGGGUGUUUUAUCCACAUAUUUAUUAUUAUUAUUCAACCCAUCGGGAAACGAAGGUGGUGGUUGUUGAUUUUUCUCCCUAUUGAAAAGGGGAAGAAUAAAAACAACUUUCAGCAAUGGAUCUCUUGGUUCUCGCAUCGAUGAAGAGCGUAGCAAAUUGCGAUAAUUAAUGCGAAUUGCAUUUCGUGAGUCAUCGAGUUCUCGAACGCACCUUGCACCUUUGGGUAAUCCGAAGGUACGUCUGUUUCAGAAUCAGACAGAAACCGCACACAACUCAGGGUUGUGGAUUUGGGAGAAAAGUUUGUCUCGGGUCAGCUUGUCUCCUUAAAAAUAGUUACCCAAGGUCGGAGGUGGGGGCUCUGUUCCGGUAGUUCCUAUCUUUUUACUGUGAGUAAGGCUCUUACGCGACCGUGUCAAACCCUGAUCUGAAAUCAGACGAGACUACCCGCUGAACUUAAGCAUAUCAAUAAGCGGAGGA
This 726-nucleotide ribosomal RNA is filed under the name uncultured Thermomucor. RNAcentral describes it as "eukaryotic LSU rRNA". The stretch from base 354 to 503 matches the Rfam family "5.8S ribosomal RNA". The record is from RNAcentral. Lineage: Eukaryota; Fungi; Mucoromycota; Mucoromycetes; Mucorales; Lichtheimiaceae.